UACGUAGGGUGCGAGCGUUAAUCGGAAUUACUGGGCGUAAAGCGUGCGCAGGCGGUUUUGUAAGCCAGAUGUGAAAUCCCCGGGCUCAACCUGGGAAUGGCAUUGGAAACUGGCGGACUCGAGUGUGGCAGAGGGGGGUGGAAUUCCGCGUGUAGCAGUGAAAUGCGUAGAGAUGCGGAGGAACACCGAUGGCGAAGGCAGCCCCCUGGGCUAACACUGACGCUCAGGCACGAAAGCGUGGGGAGCAAACAGG
Molecule: ribosomal RNA, 253 nt
Filed under: uncultured bacterium
Lineage: Bacteria
Description: partial 16S ribosomal RNA
Rfam family: Bacterial small subunit ribosomal RNA
Source: RNAcentral